UACGAAGGGGGCUAGCGUUGCUCGGAAUUACUGGGCGUAAAGGGCUCGUAGGCGGCCAACUAAGUCAUACGUGAAAUCCCUCAGCUUAACUGGGGAACUGCGUCUGAUACUGGAUGGCUUGAGUUUGGGAGAGGGAUGCGGAAUUCCAGGUGUAGCGGUGAAAUGCGUAGAUAUCUGGAGGAACACCGGUGGCGAAGGCGGCAUCCUGGACCAACACUGACACUGAGGAGCGAAAGCCAGGGGAGCAAACGGG
RNAcentral lists this ribosomal RNA (253 nucleotides) under uncultured bacterium. Its description in RNAcentral is "partial 16S ribosomal RNA". It matches the Rfam family "Bacterial small subunit ribosomal RNA", at positions 524 to 776 of the family's 1533-position model. The record is from RNAcentral.